AUUGAACGCUGGCGGCAGGCCUAACACAUGCAAGUCGAGCGGAUGAAGGGAGCUUGCUCCUGGAUUCAGCGGCGGACGGGUGAGUAAUGCCUAGGAAUCUGCCUGGUAGUGGGGGAUAACGUCCGGAAACGGGCGCUAAUACCGCAUACGUCCUGAGGGAGAAAGUGGGGGAUCUUCGGACCUCACGCUAUCAGAUGAGCCUAGGUCGGAUUAGCUAGUUGGUGGGGUAAAGGCCUACCAAGGCGACGAUCCGUAACUGGUCUGAGAGGAUGAUCAGUCACCCUGGAACGGAGACACGGUCCAGACUCCUACGGGAGGCAGAGAUGGGGAAUAUUGGCCAAUGGGCGAAAGCCUGAUCAAGCCAUGCCGCGUGUGUGAAGAAGGUCUUCGGAUUGAAAGCACUUUAAGUUGGGAGGAAGGGCAGUAAGUUAAUACCUUGCUGUUUUGACGUUACCAACAGAAUAAGCACCGGCUAACUUCGUG
This 483-nucleotide ribosomal RNA is filed under the name uncultured bacterium. Its description in RNAcentral is "partial 16S ribosomal RNA". It matches the Rfam family "Bacterial small subunit ribosomal RNA", at positions 30 to 507 of the family's 1533-position model. The record is from RNAcentral.